RNAcentral lists this ribosomal RNA (253 nucleotides) under uncultured bacterium. RNAcentral's name for it is "partial 16S ribosomal RNA". It matches the Rfam family "Bacterial small subunit ribosomal RNA", at positions 524 to 776 of the family's 1533-position model. The record is from RNAcentral.
UACAGGGGGUGCAAACGUUGCUCGGAAUUAUUGGGCGUAAAGCGCGCGUAGGCGGCCACUUAAGUCGGAUGUGAAAGCCCCUGGCUCAACUGGGGAAGUGCACCCGAAACUGAAUGGCUUGAAUGCAAAAGAGGGUCGCGGAAUUCCCGGUGUAGAGGUGAAAUUCGUAGAUAUCGGGAGGAACACCGGUGGCGAAGGCGGCGACCUGGGUUGACAUUGACGCUGAGGCGCGAAAGCGUGGGGAGCGAACAGG